This 476-nucleotide ribosomal RNA is filed under the name uncultured organism. Its description in RNAcentral is "partial 16S ribosomal RNA". It matches the Rfam family "Bacterial small subunit ribosomal RNA", at positions 334 to 801 of the family's 1533-position model. The record is from RNAcentral.
CACUCCUGCGGGAGGCAGCAGUGGGGAAUUUUGGACAAUGGGCGAAAGCCUGAUCCAGCAAUGCCGCGUGCAGGAUGAAGGCCUUCGGGUUGUAAACUGCUUUUGUACGUAACGAAAAAGCUCCUUCUAAUACAGGGGGCCCAUGACGGUACCGUAAGAAUAAGCACCGGCUAACUACGUGCCAGCAGCCGCGGUAAUACGUAGGGUGCGAGCGUUAAUCGGAAUUACUGGGCGUAAAGCGUGCGCAGGCGGUUAUGUAAGACAGAUGUGAAAUCCCCGGGCUCAACCUGGGAACUGCAUUUGUGACUGCAUGGCUAGAGUACGGUAGAGGGGGAUGGAAUUCCGCGUGUAGCAGUGAAAUGCGUAGAUAUGCGGAGGAACACCGAUGGCGAAGGCAAUCCCCUGGACCUGUACUGACGCUCAUGCACGAAAGCGUGGGGAGCAAACAGGAUUAGAAACCCGGGUAGUCCCAUGAU